CCGAUUCUGUAAAGUGACUGUCGGCCCAUUACAUGUGGAAGAGCGGUGGAACAAAUAUUAACUGAAGAUUGAAACCAGAACGGCGCGAAACUGUCUCGUUUUGGACACUGUCUGUGGCAGCACGGACCAGAGACCUGCUUCUUUGGAUGAAGCUUAGUGGUGGCGUUGGAAGACAGGAGAUAUAUGCUUUGGGUUUGCGUCAUCCACUACGUCAGCAAAGAACAGGAUCGGGGAAUGACUACAUGGCCAACUGCAUCUCGUGGAAGUUGUUCUGAAGAUGCGAUGCGUGAAGGAAGGAAGUCCACAAGCAUGUGUGCUUCAGAACUCUUUGACCAACCCCCAACUGAGAGAGCUGAGCGAAGUGGCUAUCAGUAAGUCUAUUUGUGGGGACAGACUUACUCUGACAGAUGACAU
This is a long non-coding RNA of Sardina pilchardus (European sardine), 414 nucleotides long. RefSeq lists it as uncharacterized. The record is from RefSeq and is a predicted model, not a curated record. NCBI's taxonomy places the organism in Eukaryota, Metazoa, Chordata, Actinopteri, Clupeiformes, Clupeidae. The transcript has 4 exons.